GCACAAGCGGCGGAGCAUGCGGAUUAAUUCGAUGCAACGCGAAGAACCUUACCAAGGCUUGACAUAUACGAGAACGCUGCAGAAAUGUAGAACUCUUUGGACACUCGUAAACAGGUGGUGCAUGGUUGUCGUCAGCUCGUGUCGUGAGAUGUUGGGUUAAGUCCCGCAACGAGCGCAACCCUCGUUCUAUGUUGCCAGCACGUAAUGGUGGGAACUCAUGGGAUACUGUCGGGGUCAACUCGGAGGAAGGUGGGGAUGACGUCAAAUCAUCAUGCCCCUUAUGUCUUGGGCUUCACGCAUGCUACAAUGGCCGGUACAAAGGGCUGCAAUACCGUAAGGUGGAGCGAAUCCCAAAAAGCCGGUCCCAGUUCGGAUUGAGGUCUGCAACUCGACCUCAUGAAGUCGGAGUCGCUAGUAAUCGCAGAUCAGCAACGCUGCGGUGAAUACGUUCCCGGGUCUU
RNAcentral lists this ribosomal RNA (460 nucleotides) under uncultured Microbacterium sp. RNAcentral's name for it is "bacterial SSU rRNA". It matches the Rfam family "Bacterial small subunit ribosomal RNA", at positions 923 to 1382 of the family's 1533-position model. The record is from RNAcentral. Lineage: Bacteria; Bacillati; Actinomycetota; Actinomycetes; Micrococcales; Microbacteriaceae.